GUAGGUGGCAAGCGUUGUCCGGAAUUAUUGGGCGUAAAGCGCGCGCAGGCGGUUCUUUAAGUCUGAUGUGAAAGCCCACGGGCUCAACCGUGGAGGGUCAUUGGAAACUGGAGAACUUGAGUACAGAAGAGGAAAGCGGAAUUCCACGUGUAGCGGUGAAAUGCGUAGAGAUGUGGAGGAACACCAGUGGCGAAGGCGGCUUUCUGGUCUGUAACUGACGCUGAGGCGCGAAAGCGUGGGGAGCAAACAGGAUUAGAUACCCUGGUAGUCCACGCCGUAAACGAUGAGUGCUAAGUGUUAGGGGGUUUCCGCCCCUUAGCGCUGCAGCUAACGCAUUAAGCACUCCGCCUGGGGAGUACGGCCGCAAAGGCUG
This 373-nucleotide ribosomal RNA is filed under the name uncultured organism. RNAcentral describes it as "partial 16S ribosomal RNA". It matches the Rfam family "Bacterial small subunit ribosomal RNA", at positions 527 to 896 of the family's 1533-position model. The record is from RNAcentral.